UGGGCAUAUGCCCCAUUCGUCCACGCCUAGCUACGCCACUGGCUGUGAACUUAUACAAUUUCCCUUACACUAAAAUUUAGCGAACGUUGUAACGUUGAUAGACGGUUUGGUGCAACCGACCCUUAGUUUCAUAUUUAGGGCAUGUAUUUAAUCCACCGAGUUGAUUCGACUCUAGUCAAAGAAACUUAUAUAUUUCAGUCAGUCACUUCACCUUUUGUCGAAGUAAGCUUUGUGAUUGGCCAGGUCCAGGUUACGUGCAGGUACCUACAUUUGUUCGGGACCAGAGGGUGCGCGUGUGAUUCUGUCUAUUUUGCGGUUGUGUUGGUUAAACUGUUUUGGGGCUCGCUCGAAAUAAUACCUUUACCGUGGCGUUCCAUGCCUAAAGGGUCCUUAAUCAUGGAAAGCCACAAAUAUCCAUCUCAUUCUAAACAGUUAAGUGAGAGAGAAAUACUACAUUUCAGAGAGAUAGUUUUUAUGUGUUACUCGAAAAGCUAUACGAGAACUUCGAGACUUUCAAAAUAAAGCCAAAUAUUAGGUUAUGUCGUAUUCGUUGUAUAAACAUAAAUGUCAUGUACAGUCAGCUUUAGUUAUCUAUACGGAUUAAGAGCUUUAAAUUUUCUUUAAGUAUUAUAUUACCUUUUUACAUUAAUAAUUAUUUGAAUAUUCGUUUGCUAGAGAAUACUACCUUUGACGGGUUUCGUUCCAUAAAAGCGUUACUAAAAACCGGCCAAGUGCGAGUCGGACUCGCACACGAAGGGUUCCGUACCAUUAUCUAUAAAAACGGUCACCCAUCCAAGUACUGACCCCGCCCGACGUUGCUUAACUUCGGUCAAAAAUCACGUUUGUUGUAUGGGAGCCCCACUUAAAUCUUUAUUUUAUUCUGUUUUUAGUAUUUGUUGUUAUAGCGGCAACAAAAAUACAUCAUUGUGAAAAUUUCUGCUGUCUAGCUAUCACAGAUCACGAGAUACAGACUGGUGACAGACGGACGGACGGACAGCGGAGUCUUAGUAAUAGGGUCCCUUUUUACCCUUUGGGUACGGAACCCUAAAAAUGGGUCAUGUGUAGAUGUUUUUGAUCUCUUCGUCCGUAUAGACAUCUGUUGACUGUGCAAGUGAGUAGUAAAUAGCUACAUUCGCUUGUUAAGAUCAUAUGCUCAUACAUUGUCUACUGGUAUGAUAGUUAGCGGUUGGUAGUCUGUGUGUCUAUAUCUAUAGAUGUUAUGGAGAGAAAUGUACAUAGAAUGAAACGGUGGCGAGUUUAAUAGGGGCGGCGCGGACUUAGAAUAGUCCAGUCCGACUAAUAUUUUAGUUGAGUAUUAUUAAAUAAUUCUUCAAGGUUUAUGCUUUUGGAUUUUUUUAAAGCACUUUAUGUAUCAGAAAUAAGUACGGAAUAUUUUAUUGCGCUGGUGCACAAUGCUAACAAUGUAGUAAGAAAAACCUAAAAAAAAAAUAUGACGGAAAUCGUUUAUGAACGUUUUUUGGCAAAAUGCGUACACCAUAAAAAAAAAACAUAUUUCAGUAGGAUAAAACAAUGUCAACAUAUAGGUACAAAAUUGGACCUUAAUGUUUGGUACAUAGCAUGUAUGUAUGUACAACAUAUUGCCUAAAAUUAAAACAAACUUUGUACAAUAACCGCGCCGCCAAAUAAUGGAUAAUGUAAUUAAUAUAAAGUAAAUGUGCGUUUAAUUGACAUUUUGUGUCACUUCGAUAAUUUAUUUGUCCACUUAUGAAAAUUUGAGUAAAGGAUCCCUUCCAAGUUUAUGCUUUAAAUUGUGAAUCUAGUCCUUGUGUGAUUAGGUUUACGUAUAAGGUAAUGAAAUACUAUCUUUUGACAUUAUGGAAAAAUCAUACAGUUUUAUACAACGUCUUUACUCUUUAGCACGAAAUGUAAAAAAGCAUUCUUACAGUUUGCCUUACGGCAGAAACAUUGAAUUAGCUGUUAUUAAAUUCAAACCACGAACUCUAGGCGUCACAUUCGCACUAGCGAUCCUGUCACACCCUACCCUCUCCCCCAAAAUCCUCUUAAUAUACCCUCUUGGGGUUAAAUCUCCUAAUACUAGUACAAAUUACCUCCAUGAAAUUUAAAUCUUAAUUGAACGGAACAGAGUUACUUUUGUUUGACUUCUUUCGAAAACAAAACAAAUUCAACUCUAUUUUCUAAUAGCAUUGAUUCAAAUUCAAUUGCCAAUUUUCCUUGUAGGUACGUUGGGCCGCUAGAGGAUACAAUUUUCUUAGAAAACUGUGUAGCCAUAUGCUAUAAAAUAAAUCUAUCUUUUGUUAAAAAAGCAAGUGUAUUUUUCAUUGCCAUUUGCGUAAACUUAAUAACAGUUAAAAAUGUAUUUUUUUUGUAUACUUAGAGUAUAUUAUUAUAAGAUUUAGUCGUUUAGUGCGUGUACUGUUCUGUUUGUUCGUUGGCUGUUGACGCGAUUUAUUUUUUAUAUGGACCUUUUAUAGAAGGGACUGAUCGGUUCGUCUUUUGUAACAGACGCUUGACUAUAAUAAAAUAUUAUUGUAAUUGUGA
Cydia splendana is the source of this 2520-nucleotide long non-coding RNA. RefSeq lists it as uncharacterized. The record is from RefSeq and is a predicted model, not a curated record. NCBI's taxonomy places the organism in Eukaryota, Metazoa, Arthropoda, Insecta, Lepidoptera, Tortricidae. The transcript has 2 exons.